UUAUAAAAGAUCAUUU
This 16-nucleotide ribosomal RNA is filed under the name Leptomonas seymouri. RNAcentral describes it as "partial 9S ribosomal RNA". Lineage: Eukaryota; Euglenozoa; Kinetoplastea; Trypanosomatida; Trypanosomatidae. The record is from RNAcentral.